GGCUCGGUAGCUCAGUUGGUAGAGCAAUGGUUUGAAGCUCCAUGUGUCGGCGGUUCGAUUCCGUCUCGCGCCA
This 73-nucleotide transfer RNA is filed under the name Streptococcus agalactiae. RNAcentral's name for it is "tRNA-Phe". It matches the Rfam family "tRNA". From Rfam's summary of the family: Transfer RNA (tRNA) molecules are approximately 80 nucleotides in length. Lineage: Bacteria; Bacillati; Bacillota; Bacilli; Lactobacillales; Streptococcaceae. RNAcentral also lists the same sequence under 1 other name. The record is from RNAcentral.